AUUGAACGCUGGCGGCAUGCCUUACACAUGCAAGUCGAACGGUAACGGGCCUUCGGGUGCCGACGAGUGGCGAACGGGUGAGUAAUGCAUCGGAACGUACCUUUCAGUGGGGGAUAACGUAGCGAAAGUUACGCUAAUACCGCAUAUUCUGUGAGCAGGAAAGCAGGGGAUCGCAAGACCUUGCGCUGAUUGAGCGGCCGAUGUCAGAUUAGCUAGUUGGCGAGGUAAAGGCUCACCAAGGCGACGAUCUGUAGCGGGUCUGAGAGGAUGAUCCGCCACACUGGAACUGAGACACGGUCCAGACUCCUACGGGAGGCAGCAGUGGGAAUUUUGGACAAUGGGGGCAACCCUGAUCCAGCCAUGCCGCGUGAGUGAAGAA
Molecule: ribosomal RNA, 379 nt
Filed under: uncultured bacterium
Lineage: Bacteria
Description: bacterial SSU rRNA
Rfam family: Bacterial small subunit ribosomal RNA
Source: RNAcentral